CCUGCGAAUCUGAACAAAGCCUGGAUCUGUGACCAACUCUUUGAUCUUUUUUUUGAUCUUUUUCUCUUCUCUUUCUUGAUCUCUUUCUCUUGAUCUUGAAGCAAUCAAGAUCUGAAAACUAGUAAGGAAGAGGGACAUCCAAACUCCUUUUGAGCGUGUAGAUGGUGGGACGUCCAAGGAGCUUGGACGUGUGAACCAAAGAGAGGAAGAGAGGAGGGUGUGGGGCUGUUUGGGAGGCUUGAAGUAAUCUAAAAAUCUGAUGUAAAAAACUUAAGGAAGGGCCUCUUAAAUAGAGGAGCAAUUGGAGUCCUAACC
Molecule: long non-coding RNA, 315 nt
Filed under: Elaeis guineensis (African oil palm)
Lineage: Eukaryota; Viridiplantae; Streptophyta; Magnoliopsida; Arecales; Arecaceae
Description: long non-coding RNA (EGUI_LNC079263)
Source: RNAcentral